UGGGGAAUUUUGGACAAUGGGCGAAAGCCUGAUCCAGCAAUGCCGCGUGUGUGAAGAAGGCCUUCGGGUUGUAAAGCACUUUUGUCCGGAAAGAAAUGGCACUGGUUAAUACCUGGGGUCGAUGACGGUACCGGAAGAAUAAGGACCGGCUAACUACGUGCCAGCAGCCGCGGUAAUACGUAGGGGCCAAGCGUUAAUCGGAAUUACUGGGCGUAAAGCGUGCGCAGGCGGUUGUGCAAGACCGAUGUGAAAUCCCCGUGCUUAACUUGGGAAUUGCAUUGGUGACUGCACGGCUAGAGUGUGUCAGAGGGGGGUAGAAUUCCACGUGUAGCAGUAAAAUGCGUAGAGAUGUGGAGGAAUACCGAUGGCGAAGGCAGCCCCCUGGGAUAACACUGACGCUCAUGCACGAAAGCGUGGGGAGCAAACAGG
Molecule: ribosomal RNA, 429 nt
Filed under: Bacillota bacterium
Lineage: Bacteria; Bacillati; Bacillota
Description: Firmicutes bacterium partial 16S ribosomal RNA
Rfam family: Bacterial small subunit ribosomal RNA
Source: RNAcentral